RNAcentral lists this ribosomal RNA (496 nucleotides) under uncultured bacterium. RNAcentral describes it as "partial 16S ribosomal RNA". It matches the Rfam family "Bacterial small subunit ribosomal RNA", at positions 28 to 506 of the family's 1533-position model. The record is from RNAcentral.
GAUGAACGCUGGCGGCGUGCCUAAUACAUGCAAGUCGAGCGAACGGACGAGAAGCUUGCUUCUCUGAUGUUAGCGGCGGACGGGUGAGUAACACGUGGAUAACCUACCUAUAAGACUGGGAUAACUUCGGGAAACCGGAGCUAAUACCGGAUAAUAUUUUGAACCGCAUGGUUCAAAAGUGAAAGACGGUCUUGCUGUCACUUAUAGAUGGAUCCGCGCUGCAUUAGCUAGUUGGUAAGGUAACGGCUUACCAAGGCAACGAUGCAUAGCCGACCUGAGAGGGUGAUCGGCCACACUGGAACUGAGACACGGUCCAGACUCCUACGGGAGGCAGCAGUAGGGAAUCUUCCGCAAUGGGCGAAAGCCUGACGGAGCAACGCCGCGUGAGUGAUGAAGGUCUUCAGAUCGUAAAACUCUGUUAUUAGGGAAGAACAUAUGUGUAAGUAACUGUGCACAUCUGGACGGUACCUAAUCAGAAAGCCACGGCGAACUACGU